AUUGAACGCUGGCGGCAGGCCUAACACAUGCAAGUCGAGCGGAUGAAGGGAGCUUGCUCCUGGAUUCAGCGGCGGACGGGUGAGUAAUGCCUAGGAAUCUGCCUGGUAGUGGGGGAUAACGUCCGGAAACGGGCGCUAAUACCGCAUACGUCCUGAGGGAGAAAGUGGGGGAUCUUCGGACCUCACGCUAUCAGAUGAGCCUAGGUCGGAUUAGCUAGUUGGUGGGGUAAAGGCCUACCAAGGCGACGAUCCGUAACUGGUCUGAGAGGAUGAUCAGUCACACUGGAACUGAGACACGGUCCAGACUCCUACGGGAGGCAGCAGUAGGGAAUAUUGGACAAAGGGCGAAAGCCUGAUCCAGCCAUGCCGCGUGUGUGAAGAAGGUCUUCGGAUUGUAAAGCACUUUAAGUUGGGAGGAAGGGCAGUAAGUUAAUACCUUGCUGUUUUGACGUUACCAACAGAAUAAGCACCGGCUAACUUCGUG
This 484-nucleotide ribosomal RNA is filed under the name uncultured bacterium. Its description in RNAcentral is "partial 16S ribosomal RNA". It matches the Rfam family "Bacterial small subunit ribosomal RNA", at positions 30 to 507 of the family's 1533-position model. The record is from RNAcentral.